AACCCUGGUAGUCCACGCUGUAAACGAUGUCGACUUGGAGGUUGUUCCCUUGAGGAGUGGCUUCCGGAGCUAACGCGUUAAGUCGACCGCCUGGGGAGUACGGCCGCAAGGUUAAAACUCAAAUGAAUUGACGGGGGCCCGCACAAGCGGUGGAGCAUGUGGUUUAAUUCGAUGCAACGCGAAGAACCUUACCUACUCUUGACAUCCAGAGAACUUAGCAGAGAUGCUUUGGUGCCUUCGGGAACUCUGAGACAGGUGCUGCAUGGCUGUCGUCAGCUCGUGUUGUGAAAUGUUGGGUUAAGUCCCGCAACGAGCGCAACCCUUAUCCUUUGUUGCCAGCGAUUCGGCCGGGAACUCAAAGGAGACUGCCAGUGAUAAACUGGAGGAAGGUGGGGAUGACGUCAAGUCAUCAUGGCCCUUACGAGUAGGGCUACACACGUGCUACAAUGGCAUAUACAAAGAGAAGCGACCUCGCGAGAGCAAGCGGACCUCAUAAAGUAUGUCGUAGUCCGGAUUGGAGUCUGCAACUCGACUCCAUGAAGUCGGAAUCGCUAGUAAUCGUAGAUCAGAAUGCUACGGUGAAUACGUUCCCGGGCCUUGUACACACCGCCCGUCACACCAUGGGAGUGGGUUGCAAAAGAAGUAGGUAGCUUAAC
RNAcentral lists this ribosomal RNA (656 nucleotides) under bacterium sp. R2A-61. RNAcentral describes it as "bacterial SSU rRNA". It matches the Rfam family "Bacterial small subunit ribosomal RNA", at positions 783 to 1439 of the family's 1533-position model. The record is from RNAcentral.